RNAcentral lists this ribosomal RNA (894 nucleotides) under uncultured bacterium. Its description in RNAcentral is "bacterial SSU rRNA". It matches the Rfam family "Bacterial small subunit ribosomal RNA", at positions 51 to 958 of the family's 1533-position model. The record is from RNAcentral.
ACACAUGCAAGUCGAACGAGAGAGAAGGAGCUUGCUUCUUCGAUCGAGUGGCGAACGGGUGAGUAACGCGUGAGGAACCUGCCUCAAAGAGGGGGACAACAGUUGGAAACGACUGCUAAUAACGCAUAAGCCCACGGGUCGGCAUCGACCUGAGGGAAAAGGAGCAAUCCGCUUUGAGAUGGCCUCGCGUCCGAUUAGCUAGUUGGUGAGGUAAUGGCCCACCAAGGCGACGAUCGGUAGCCGGACUGAGAGGUUGAACGGCCACAUUGGGACUGAGACACGGCCCAGACUCCUACGGGAGGCAGCAGUGGGGAAUAUUGCACAAUGGGGGAAACCCUGAUGCAGCGACGCCGCGUGGAGGAAGAAGGUCUUCGGAUUGUAAACUCCUGUUGUUGAGGAAGAUAAUGACGGUACUCAACAAGGAAGUGACGGCUAACUACGUGCCAGCAGCCGCGGUAAAACGUAGGUCACAAGCGUUGUCCGGAAUUACUGGGUGUAAAGGGAGCGCAGGCGGGAAGACAAGUUGGAAGUGAAAUCUAUGGGCUCAACCCAUAAACUGCUUUCAAAACUGUUUUUCUUGAGUAGUGCAGAGGUAGGCGGAAUUCCCGGUGUAGCGGUGGAAUGCGUAGAUAUCGGGAGGAACACCAGUGGCGAAGGCGGCCUACUGGGCACCAACUGACGCUGAGGCUCGAAAGUGUGGGUAGCAAACAGGAUUAGAUACCCUGGUAGUCCACACCGUAAACGAUGAUUACUAGGUGUUGGAGGAUUGACCCCUUCAGUGCCGCAGUUAACACAAUAAGUAAUCCACCUGGGGAGUACGACCGCAAGGUUGAAACUCAAAGGAAUUGACGGGGGCCCGCACAAGCAGUGGAGUAUGUGGUUUAAUUCGACGCA